AAGAUGAAUCAAAGAAGGUAAUAAUCCUGUAGUCGAAAAUGUUGUCUCUCUUGAGUGGAUCCUGAGUACGACGGAGCACGUGAAAUUCCGUCGGAAUCUGGGAGGACCAUCUCCUAAGGCUAAAUACUCUCUAGUGACCGAUAGUGAACCAGUACCGUGAGGGAAAGGUGAAAAGCACCCCGGAAGGGGAGUGAAAUAGAACCUGAAACCGUGUGCUUACAAGUAGUCAGAGCCCGUUAAUGGGUGAUGGCGUGCCUUUUGUAGAAUGAACCGGCGAGUU
RNAcentral lists this ribosomal RNA (280 nucleotides) under Staphylococcus aureus. RNAcentral describes it as "partial 23S ribosomal RNA". It matches the Rfam family "Bacterial large subunit ribosomal RNA", at positions 347 to 629 of the family's 2925-position model. The record is from RNAcentral. Lineage: Bacteria; Bacillati; Bacillota; Bacilli; Caryophanales; Staphylococcaceae.